AUAAAUACUGUGAAAAGAAAUAGUAAGUAUUCAAAAUAGUUUAGAGAGCUCUUGGCUGGUGUAAAAGAGUCUAUUAGAGAAUAUUGAAUUCAUCUUGGAGUAGAGGACUGAAUCGUUAGUAGUAGGUCUCUCCGGCAACACCCGUUAACGUGUAAGAGUAUGAACUAUUUGAUUAGCGUACUCGAUGAGGUUAGUGUAGCAAUACAUUAAUAAAUUAAGGUGGUAUCACGAAGCAUAAGCUCUCGUCCUUUUA
This 253-nucleotide non-coding RNA is filed under the name Coprobacillus sp. Its description in RNAcentral is "T-box sequence". It matches the Rfam family "T-box leader". From Rfam's summary of the family: Uncharged tRNA acts as the effector for transcription antitermination of genes in the T-box leader family. T-boxes are found upstream of many aminoacyl-tRNA synthetase genes and some amino acid biosynthetic genes usually in Gram-positive bacteria. Lineage: Bacteria; Bacillati; Bacillota; Erysipelotrichia; Erysipelotrichales; Coprobacillaceae. The record is from RNAcentral.